UGGCAGUAUUGGAGGAGGAAAACUGAAGAGACUGAGCUUCUAGCAGUGGAUUGAGUUGAAUGAAACAAGCUAACUAGUAGGAGAGAAGCUGGCAUGAGCUGGAAACUGCAACAAGCUGGCUUAGGCGUUGUUUUGAAGCUGGAAGUGAAAGGAGGCUCACAGUGUUGAUAAGAGGAACUGAGGGAUACCUGACCUGCUCUAGGAUUACAAGAGCCCCCAUUCCUGUUACACGACAGAGGUCAGAAUUUACUGGCAUCAGCGGCAGCUGCUACAGAGAGCAAAG
This is a long non-coding RNA of Gallus gallus (chicken), 283 nucleotides long. The record is from Ensembl. Lineage: Eukaryota; Metazoa; Chordata; Aves; Galliformes; Phasianidae.